This 2100-nucleotide ribosomal RNA is filed under the name Triticum aestivum (bread wheat). RNAcentral describes it as "partial small subunit ribosomal RNA". The record is from RNAcentral. Lineage: Eukaryota; Viridiplantae; Streptophyta; Magnoliopsida; Poales; Poaceae.
GAUAUUCAACCUGAUCCUGGUCUUAGGAAACCCAUUGAACUUAGGUCGGACCUUAGAGAUGUUGCUAGAAGGAUGUAUAUAAAUAUGGGUCCAUGCCAACCGACUGAUCAAAAAUAUAGAAAAACAAAAGGAGGGAAUUCUUCUAAAGAAAGAAGCUUUCAAGCUAGUUGGUUCAACAACCAUCUUGAUUGAUUGGAAUAUAGUGAUAAUAAAGAUGCAGCCUUUUGUUUUUAUUGCUUUCUUUUUAAGCAACCUAGAGCGGAAAAUUUUGGUAUUGAGGCAUUCACAAAGGUUGGAUUAAAUUGGAAGGAUGCAAUUAGUGCUUUUAAUACACAUGUUGGUAAACAUGAUAGUGCUCACAAUAAAUCUAGACAACAUUAUGAGGCUUUCAAAAAUCAAAGGCAAUGUGUUAUCUGAUUUCUUCUAUUACAAGCUCUACCUUUCCAUGGUCAUGAUGAGAGUUUGAUCUCUAAGAAUAGGGGAAACUUUUUGGAGUUGAUGAGUUGGUACAGGAAUAAGGAUCCAAAUGAUAAGACUUUGCUUGAUGGUGCGGGCGGGAACCAUUUGAUGACUUCACAUGAGAUAUAGUUCCAAUUGUGCCAGGCUUGUGCUGAAGAGGCCACCAAAGCCAUUAUUGCUGAUAUUGGAGACAAAAGGUUUUCUUUACUUGUUGAUGAGUCCAGAGAUGCAUCUAUAAAGGAGCAAAUGGCUAUGGUUUUAAGGUAUGUCAACGAUCAUGGGUAUACAAUUGAGAGAUUUAUUGGGAUUAAGCAUGUUGGUGACACAAGAGCAGCUUCUCUAAAGGCAGCCAUGAUGUUUCGUAAACAUGGCUUAUCUAUGUCUAAAUUGAGAGUGCAAGGGUAUGAUGGAGCUUCUAACAUGAGAGGGCAAUUUCAUGGGUUGCAACGGUUGAUACUAGAUGAAAAUCCCUAUGCAUUCUAUAUUCAUUGCUUUGCCCAUCAAUCACAAAUAGUGGUUGUUGCUGUUGCUAAGUGUUGUUCCACUGUAUUGGAUUUUUUUAACCACACAACUUUGAUUGUCAACACUGUCAAUGCUUCUUGUAAGAGACAUGAUGAACUAGCCCAACAACAUCAUGACACUAUUGUGAGCUAGUUGGAGUCUAGAGAAAUUUUUUUAGGAAGAGGGAAAACCAAGCAACCAACCUUGUAAGACUCGAAGAUACACGAAAGAACCACGACAGGUGGCUUGAUUUCUCAGAUGGAAAGUUUUGAGUUUGUUUUCAUAUUGCAUCUUAUGAUUAAACUAUUGGGUAAGACUAAUGAGUUGCCACAAUGCUUGCAAAAGAAAGAUCAGAACAUUGUUCUUGCAGUGAGUUUGAUUGGGGUCACCUUGAAAAAACUUCAAGAUAUAAGAGAAAAUGGUUGGGAUGAGCUCUUGAAAGAGACAAAUGACUCUUGUGUUAAACACACCAUUGUAUUGCCUAACAUGGAUGAUAUAAUACCAGCUCGAGGUCGUUCAAGGGGGCGUGGUGGUCAAAUGGUAACUUACUAUCACCGCUUCAGAUAUAAAAUAUUCAAUGUUGUGCAUGACCAAAUUAUUUUCGAGUUAAAUAAUUGUUUUGCCGAAAGAUCCACUCAAUUGUUGAGAUGCAUUGCUUGUCUUGAUCCAAGGAACUCCUUUAUUAAUUUUGAUGAGGAUAAACUUGUUGAACUUGCUGAGUUGUAUGCUGAUGACUUCUCCAUAUAUGAGAUCUCCUUUGUCCUUCGAAACCAACUUGAAACAUUCAUUUCUGUUGUGAGAGCUGACCCGGAUUUUGAAUGUUGUAAUGACCUUGGUAAUCUUGCUGUGAAGAUGGUUCAAACCGGUACACACACUAUUUUUCCUUUGGUAUAUCGACUCAUAGAGUUGGCAUUGAUCUUGCCGGUUGCAACCGCAUCAGUGGAAAGAGCUUUCUCGGCUAUGAGUAUUAUCAAGACCGAGUUGAGGAAUAAGAUGGGUGAUGAUUGGCUCAAUUAUAACAUGAUGUGCUAUAUUGAGCGAGAUGUAUUUGCAAGUAUUCCUGAUGAUGAUAUUUUAUAUCACUUUCAAGCCUACAGGAAUGCAGAGGGCUUUUACCUACCCUUAGAGGUAAGGUUUUAG